GCUGGGUAUGAUGGCGCGUGCCUGUAAUCCCAGCUACUCAAGAGGCUGAGGUGGGAGGAUCGCUUGAGUCCAGGAGUUCAAGACUGCAGUGAGCCAAGAUCGCGCCACUGCACUCCAGCCUGGGCAACAGAGCAAGCCCCUGUCUCAA
Macaca fascicularis (crab-eating macaque) is the source of this 148-nucleotide unclassified non-coding RNA. It matches the Rfam family "Metazoan signal recognition particle RNA". Rfam says of the family: The signal recognition particle (SRP) is a universally conserved ribonucleoprotein. It is involved in the co-translational targeting of proteins to membranes. The record is from Ensembl. NCBI's taxonomy places the organism in Eukaryota, Metazoa, Chordata, Mammalia, Primates, Cercopithecidae.